ACGAACGCUGGCGGCGUGCCUAAUACAUGCAAGUAGAACGCUGAAGAGAGGAGCUUGCUCUUCUUGGAUGAGUUGCGAACGGGUGAGUAACGCGUAGGUAACCUGCCUUGUAGCGGGGGAUAACUAUUGGAAACGAUAGCUAAUACCGCAUAACAAUGGAUGACACAUGUCAUUUAUUUGAAAGGGGCAAUUGCUCCACUACAAGAUGGACCUGCGUUGUAUUAGCUAGUAGGUGAGGUAACGGCUCACCUAGGCGACGAUACAUAGCCGACCUGAGAGGGUGAUCGGCCACACUGGGACUGAGACACGGCCCAGACUCCUACGGGAGGCAGCAGUAGGGAAUCUUCGGCAAUGGGGGCAACCCUGACCGAGCAACGCCGCGUGAGUGAAGAAGGUUUUCGGAUCGUAAAGCUCUGUUGUAAGUCAAGAACGAGUGUGAGAGUGGAAAGUUCGCACUGUGACGGUAGCUUACCAGAAAGGGACGGCUAACUACGUG
This 496-nucleotide ribosomal RNA is filed under the name uncultured bacterium. RNAcentral describes it as "partial 16S ribosomal RNA". It matches the Rfam family "Bacterial small subunit ribosomal RNA", at positions 29 to 507 of the family's 1533-position model. The record is from RNAcentral.